UACGUAGGGGGCAAGCGUUGUCCGGAAUUAUUGGGCGUAAAGAGCGUGUAGGCGGUCCGGUAAGUCGGCUGUGAAAGUCCAGGGCUCAACCCUGGGAUGCCGGUCGAUACUGCCGGACUAGAGUUCGGAAGAGGCGAGUGGAAUUCCCGGUGUAGCGGUGAAAUGUGUAGAGAUCUGGAGGAAUACCGGUGGCGAAGGCGGCCCCCUGGACAAAGACUGACGCUCAGGUGCGAAAGCGUGGGGAGCAAACAGG
RNAcentral lists this ribosomal RNA (253 nucleotides) under uncultured bacterium. RNAcentral describes it as "partial 16S ribosomal RNA". It matches the Rfam family "Bacterial small subunit ribosomal RNA", at positions 524 to 776 of the family's 1533-position model. The record is from RNAcentral.